Non-coding RNA from Chlorocebus sabaeus (green monkey), 8801 nucleotides. NCBI's taxonomy places the organism in Eukaryota, Metazoa, Chordata, Mammalia, Primates, Cercopithecidae. The record is from RefSeq and is a predicted model, not a curated record.
CAGAGGUUGCAGUGAGCCAAGAUCGUGCCACUGCACUCCAGCCUGGGUGACAGAGCAAGACUCCAUCUCAAAAAAAAAAAAGUAUCAAGUUCACUUCCUAUUUUUAAACUUACCCACUUCUCUCUUAUCUUUGCUGAUGCUUCUCUAGUACAACAGUUUCUUUAUUGGUCUUCCUGCUGGAUGGCCUGGAUUCAUCCUAGAACAUUUGACUCUCUCUGCCUGGCUCAUCUUUAAAUGGGGGUCACAACAGAACCUACCUCAUAAAGUUAUUGUGAAGGUUAAAUGAGCUAACCCAGGUAGAGUGUUCACCAUAGGAUAUAAUAAGCACUCAGUAAGGGUAACCUAUUAUUCUCCAUAAAGCUACCCAUAUCAUGUCACACCCUGGCCUAAAGCAUUAGUUAGUUUCCCACUGCCCUCUGUGUUUGUACCUCUGCACAAGGCUGUUGGUGAUAUGACCCACUGCAGCCUUUAGACCUCCACCCCCUUCUUUUCCUACUCUAUUCCUCUUGACUUCCAUGCUUCAGCCACCCUGAGCUUCCGGUAGUUCCUAAAGGCACUGUAAUAUCCUUUUCCUGACCUUAGGAGCUUUCUCAGCCCUCUGUACAUGUUUUAUCACAAUUCUUACUGUGCUGGAAUGGCCUGUUUACUUUUGUGAUUUCUCCUUCAGUCUGUAGGCCCCAGGAUGGCCAGAAAAAGAUCAGUCUUACUCAUGACUAAUUCCUCAGAUUUCAGCAUGGCUCCUGGCACGUUAUAGGCUCCCAAACAUUAUUUAUCGAAUAGGUGGAUGGGUAGGCACAUAGGAGGGAGGAAGAAAAUAUAACAAUUCUGUGACCCCAAAGUCCGGUACCCUUUGGACUACUCCUGCCUGCCGCCUUGCAGCUCUCUAAAGAAAGUGGAAAGUAGGGGCCAUACUCAGAGGACUGGGGAGGGUGGGGCUGGGAGAUACCUCCAUUGCUCCCUCUUCAGUCCCAUCUCCACAUUCACUAGCAUUUUCUUUCUUACAAAUCUAAGAUUUGUAACUUGGCUGCUUAAAACUCCACAAGUCCCCCACUGCUUACAGGAAACGAGUGUACCCCUUAGAGUGGCACGCCGGAACUCUCAGCCUCUUGCCCUCCCUUCUCCCCUCUGCAGCUCUCAGCCCUUGGCCAUCUCCCAAGGACACACUGCUGUUUCCCGCCUAUGUGACUUUUCCAGGUCCCUCUCUCUCGGGUGAAUCUUUCCAGACCUAGCUCAGUUAUCAUCACUUCCAUGGAAGUUUCCUAAUCUCUCCGGCAUCAGUAUAUACUCUUGGCUCCCAUAGAACUCUGUAGAGCCUUUGUUAUAGCCCACCUCAAUCUGUCCCAUAUUGCUGUGUGCACUGUUUGUCUGCCCUAUUAGAAUGUAAAGUGUUCAAAGAGAACAUAUAUUCACUUUGGAGAACCCAACCUUACCACUUGUGAGCUGUGUAGAUUUUGGCAAGUUGCCUAUAUUCUCUAAGCCUUGUGUAUAAUAAUGCAUAAAAAUAUUUGUUAAGAUGAGAAGUGACCAUUUCUACCUUACAGGUUUGGUGCCUGGAAUGCUGAUGUAGACCUAGAAACUAGCCCAGAUGAAAACAAGAAUGAUGAGGCCACAGUGUCCAUGAAAGUAGGGCAAGGCAGGGUGUCCAGUGGAGCCUGAGGGAGUACCAAGAGGGAGGUCCUUGGAACACGGAGGAACCAGAAGGCCCAGGAGUAGGAAGCAGUGUUGGUGUUUGUAAGGAAGUAGAAGAGGUGGUUGGCCAGAGGACAGGCCCUGUUCGAGAUCUAACCAGGACAUCAGAGCUGGCCUCUUCCUCCCUUCUUCCUUGCAGGCCACAGCCAAGCAGCCUUAACUGACACCUCCUUGGCACCAGCACACAAACAAUGGCCCAUAGCCUGACUUCUGCCAGGAUGCCCGAGGCCCGUGCCCUUCACCUGUUCUGCACCUAUAAGAUUGGUGUUUGCCCUCUUUGAUUCUUCCAGGUGCUGCCCCACCCUGUUCUUCUCCCCAUUCUUUAAGUGCUGAGAUUGGCCAGUCCCGUGCUGAGAUGAGGGAGCCGGAGGAAGGGAGACUGACUGUCACUCCUCACUGCUGUCCAUUGGGAUGGGAUGAACUUCACAGCUCCAGUUUCCUGUGUUCUCUCAGCUGCAGAACUGGAAUGUUCAUCUCUGGUUCCAGUGUUUUCAGCCCCCCUCUCAGUCAGCCAUACCCAGAAGACAGCAAAAUUGCCUGGCUGGUUUCACAGCCCAUCUCUGGUGACAGCUCCCAGGGUGCCUACAGUCGUUAGCCACAACACCUUCAGUGGAGGUAGGGGAGGACUAUGUCCCAGAGACAAUGGUAUGCAGUGGGGAGGUGGACACAAACAGGAGAGGUCUAGGAAGGUCACUUGGGGAUCUCUGGGAGGCUUCAUGGGGUCUGAAAGAGUAAGAAGGGGUGCUGGGGGUUGAGGUUGUCCUCUUUCAGCUGCAGGUAUGCAACAGAAAUCACCGUGUUGACUAGUCUGAGGCUCAAAACCUAAAGACACCUCCCCAUUCCCCAGAGAAUUUCUUAGAAAACACCUUCCAUUCUUCUCAGGGCAGAAUAAUACCCAGUCUGACAUCUAGCCCCUUUAAGCUAAUUCUUCCAAGAAGUGCAGCUCUCUAGAAUGGACAGAGCAGGCUGUCACUUGGACUGGCAGCCCUGUUGAGCAGCAAAGGGGGGUUAGUUUAGGAGACAUUCAGGGUCUCCUCAGUCCUUCUCUCUUGGAACCAUGUCCACAUUUAGGUCAAGACUUGAAGGCCUUCCCUUAUUUGCUGAUACAUGAACAUCUUUCUCUCCAGCCUAAUGCAUCACAGGCCAGCAUCAGAAGCACAGACUUAGCCCCUGGCCCUGAGAAGAGAGAUGGGAGGAGAGGAUGGAGCAUGGGGUCCAGGCACUGCUCUGUAGCUGGGGCUCUGAGCUCUGCUCUCUAUACCCUCCUUCAGAGGAGACAGGUGGGGACUGAAGCGACUUCCCCAUCUCCCACAGGGGGGCACAGACUGACAGGCAGUCAACGACCCUUGUUUCCAGGGGCUUAUCUUCUCUCCUCCAGGCAUCUGAAGCCUUGCAGCUUCCCUGCCCCUCAUUUGGCAGUCCUCCUGUCUCAGCAGUGGGGAGAGGUGGAGGCCCUGGGAGAGAGUCUGCCUAUUCCUAGACCAGACUACGGGGCUGAGGGCAGGAGAAGGGAAGGAGGUGGGAGAGCAAAGAUUGAGAAGAAGGUCUGUCCCAGGCCAGGACUGGGUGAAGGCAUGCAGCUGGUGUGCAGCUGUCUGGGCUCUCCUCUCCAGACGCCUGCCACCCCUCUCCAAGUCCUGCAUGGUGUCCUUCCUCCUUUGGAAUGCUCUAAUGCUCUUCCUUCCCACCCUGGCAUUCAGGGUCUGGAAACCUCUCUGCAGCUCAUAUCUAAGUGUAGGACAGGCAGCAUGCCAGGAAACACCCAGCAGAGGGCCCCUACUCUUCUUUCUAUACCCCUGCCUCCACCAGGACCCUGACUGAGGGCCCAGAAUCCAGUUUUCUCCAUCCCUGCAAACUGCCAAAGCAGCGGGAGGUGUGAGGUCAAGAGCAAGAUGCUUGCUGGUAAAUUUGGAGUUGCAUCCUCAUCCUUCUUCCUUUAUUGUGGCCACUUUCCUCCACUGCCUCCUUCCCUAAGGUGUCACAUAACUUCCCCCCAACCCAACACUUGCUCGGCCUUCAGGUCGGGUGGCCUCGGUGACCUCCUUUCUGUUCUGCUUGGACACUGUGGUCACCUCUUCCAGGAACCCAGAAGAAUGAAUUUGCAAUGGGGACUUUCAGAGACACACACUAGUCCAGAGAGAUUCUUCCUACAGUGGAACAGGACCUCCUUUUAUUGUUCCCAUCACCUCCCAGAAAGAGCUUCACAUGCUGAAACUCAGAACGAGGGCCUGUGUUGCAGAUUCCAUAAAGAAGACCAAAGGUACUUCCAGCGGGCAAGCCUUGGGGCUGUGAGGCACAGCUGGCCAGAGUCCAAGAGGCACAGACCAAUGAAGAAAUCUUUUUUUUUAAACUGUGCUUUAUUUAGGGCUAAGCUGGAGAAAGCGUCAUCCAAUAGUUACAGAAGGUUACAAGGAGUUUUAGGGAGUUGAGUGUGAAAAGAGCAGUUGUACUGAACUGCAGCUGUUUUCUUUUUUUUUCUUUUUUUUUUUCUUUUUUGUUUUUUGUUUUUUUUUACAUCUGGACAUCCUAAAAGGAGGAGUCAAGAGAAAAAAAGAAAAUGAAAAACAACAACAACAACAAAAUUGACAGAAAGAAAGGAAAGGCAGGAGGCCCUAGAGGAACUGGAAAUUUGUUGUUCUAAAGGGAAACAAUGGUAGGUCUGAGAACCCCCGGCCUCCAGAUGACCUGGACAUCAAUGUGAAGGAAUCGAGGCAGAAUGCCAAAGCAAUCUUCCCAAGGGUGCAAAUAAAUUAUAAUAAAUAUGUUAUACUUUAAAAUAUAUGUGUUCUUAAAUAAUUCAGUGUUUUUUCUGAUUCUGAGUUUUUUAAGCAAUGUCUUUAACUGCUCUAAAGUCAUUUACCAAAGAUAAAUAUCGUGCUUUCAUUAAAUAGUUUUCCUUGUUUUUUUCUCUAUCAUUACAAUUAAAAGUCCUACAAAAUAUGCAAAUUUAUUUACAGAAAAACAGAGCCGGCAUCAUUUAAACAUCCCUGUUUUUCAAAAUUCCUUGUAAACAGUUUCAGAAAUUCUUCAAAGAUUGUUUAUUUUUCUCUCUCUUUUUUAAGGUUUUGUGUGUGUGUGUGUUGUCUAGUCGUUUUAAGAUGAAAGUUCCCAGUUCUCCCUUGCCCGGAAAGUCUCUGGAGCAAGCGUGGAAGGCGAGUGAAGCGGAAGGUGAGUGAAGCGCGCGCAGCUCCCGGAGGGAAGCAAGAGGCGAGGACGGCGGCGGCGGCGACGACCCGGGCAACGCGACCGUUCCCCGGCCGAUGGCGUGGCCUCCACUGGCGACAGGCAGCCAGACGCCCGCAGGUGUGGGGCAAGUUCGGCCUGGCCCUUGGGGACAACGGCGUCCGACAGCACUCGCGGGGAGAAGGGAUUGAUGCUCUGUCUAAACUCUACAAAAGUACAGUCCUACAACAUCUGGGAUUUUAGCAGUAAUGCUAACUUCUAUAGGUUUUUUUUUUUAUUUUUUUUAUUUUUUAUUUUUUGCUUUCCUCUAAUUUUUCUUCUAUUAUAUAGGUAUUUUAAACUUUUCCUUUUUAAAAUUCUGUACAACUAUUAGGAUUUUAAGAGGGGGAAGAGUUAGAAGCAUUUACAGACUUUUCACAACAAUGACCUUGCUUGGUAAGUCCCGUUUGUCCCCUCUUUGUUUUCUCACACUCCACGGUUAAUGAGUUUUAAGAUUUGUGUUGCUUUCCCCAAAUAUCCACCAAUUUGUUCAUCUUAACAGCUCCAUCCAGACAUAGAAUACAGAAAACCAUAGGAAAGUGUCAGACUUGGAUGAGGGUCAUCAAAGCGCCUCUCAAAGUAUCAAAGAACUAUUAUCUUGCUGUUUUAAAAGCACUGAAGCGUUAUAUUUCCUUUUUUUUGUUGUUGUUUUUUUGUUGUUGUUUUUUGUGUUUUUUUUUUUAAUUUUUUAUUACAUUUUUUCAUAGAAUCGCUCUAAGCUGUUUCAAGAACAGCCAUGAGGCAGGAAGGAGGGGGUCCUCCAUUCCCCCUCUAUUUGACAUAGAGCUACACAUCUGCAAUAAAAAGUUUGGUCCUUUGGUCCCUAAAUAGCUAAAGGAAUGACAGAUAAAGAUGCUCAGUGGCGGCCUCCCAGCCGCCCCCUGGGGACCAGGCCCCACACACCACUUGCCCCAGCCUGCCUCAGGCGCCCAUGGGCUGGAAAAGCCCCGGGAUCGGUAAGCAGCGUCUCCUCCCAGUUCCCAGCCCUUCAGCCUCCCCGUCUGGUCUCGUGAUAUUUUGUUUUAAAGUUGCCUUUUGUGUGUUUUUUUUUUUCUCAUUUUUCUUCAUCUUCUUCUUAUGUCAUAUAUAUAUUUUCCCCCAAACACGUGCCCUCUGAACUCCAUAGACGCUAUACUUUCCUUGAAGAAAUGUUACAGUCACACAGACAGUGUCUGGAGUCUUCAGCUUGAUUGAUAUUGGCUGAUAUGUCAAAGGUGUCAUCCAACAGUUCUCAUUUAUAAAUAUAUAGAGAGAGAGGUUUGUUUUUUAAUGUAGCCCGUUCAGCAUCCUGCCCUAAAAUGAAGAAAAUCAGGGCUGAUUAAGCCAAGAGGGAAAACACAAACAGCAUCCAAACACCAAUAGGAACCUGCCUCAGGGGUUAGGAUGGGAGCUCUAGGGGAUGGUGGGAGGGAAGGAAGAGAGACCAGUAUGAGAAUUAGUCAUGAUCAUGAUACAUUAAAAAGAAAUAUACUCUUCUAUUCAGAGCAGAAACCACUGGGAAGUCUAGUGGUGAUGGUUGUAGCUGAGGUUUCGUUGUUGGGAGAAGGUUCUUGAUUUGGGUUACUUUAGCAUUCUGGAUUGGGGGUAGCUACAACUAAGGGGAGAAUUUGGGACUGUGGGAUAUGAAUUCAUAAUUAAACUUGUCUCUGAGAGAUCUAGCCCAGAUACAAUAUGUAUACAGAAGCCUAGCAAACAAGAUAGGAAAAAUCUAGCAGCCCAGCCCACUCCUCCCAGCUCAAGGGAAAGAAGGAAGACACAUCCGUGACUCAAAUUUUGUAGAAUCCUUGCCCAGCUUCCAGCCAACCACUUCUUUCCCGGGGUCAGUAACUAUUUGCGAGGCUGUGUAUAUAUAUAUGUAUAUCUGGAUAUAUGUGUAGAAUAUAUUCACCUGCACAUAUGUGGAUAUACAUGGAUAUGUGUGUAUGUAUAUGCAUAUAUACACACAUACACACACAUAAUACUUUUCUCAUACAUGCCAGGGAAUUUAGAGGAAAUUCAGAACUUCAAGGGAGUGGAUGGGAAAACCUAAAAAAAGGUCAGAAGAGAUUUAAUUAUCAAACUUAAAUAAAUUAACUCAGACAGUGUUUGAUUUUGUUUUGAAUGGUGGCUUUUUGGUGUUUUGUUUUGCUUUAAAAAAAAUCAUGAUCUGACUAGAAUCAGAAGGCGAAUGCUUAAUCAUUGUGAAUUAACAAAUGAGACUCAUCUCCAUUCUAGCAAGCAGCUUCCACUUAUACAUGGGGGUGACUGGUUACAUCAAGAAAGUUAGAACUGCAAAGCCCCCACUUGAGGGGACAACGUCAUGCGUAUAUCAAUCCAUGCUGGCAGGUUUUUCACACUGUUGAUUCAACAAACAGCAAACCGUACACAGCAGUCUAAACAAUUACAACACCAAAUAAAAUAAUAAUAAAAUUAAAAAACACUUGUCAAGGACCCUUUUUCAGUUGUAAACAAAAAGGUGCAUUUUGCUUUUGUUAGUACUGUUUCUUCCAAACCAACCAAAAAAACCCUCCCGAGCCCCCAGUCCCCAGCCUCCCCUCCCCACAUUUAAUUUAGCAGAAGUGGUUACAAUACAAACCUUACAAUUGUUACCGGGCUCUCUUGCAGAGGCCUCUGGCUUUGUACUCUAGUUUUUUGGUUUAGAAUUUUGUUUUUAUCAUUCUGUUACUGUAGAUAUUUUGUUUUUGUUUUUUGUUUUUGUUUUUGUUUUUUUUUUCCCUUUGAAGUGAGAUUGAAAAUAGCCUAACUGGAAAGACCAGACCUAGGAUAGUGUCAAUUGAAAAAGGCCCCCAAAUUUCUAGAAAAAAAUAAAAUCACAAUAUUUUCAAGUGCAAGUAAAUCAACCACGCAUAGAUAUUUUUAAGAUGUUUUCCUUAUUUUUAAGAAAAAAAUAAUGGUUUGCACAGGUAAAUGAUCCCAUGUUUGAUAAUUCAGGAAUUCAUCUUUAUUUUGACUAUUUUUUGUUCUUUUGUUUUGUUUUUUUCUCUAUGUGACAUCUAGAGAAGCAUAAAAAAACGCUGAACAAGAAAAACCAAACAACAGAAAGUAAAACCACUGCAAGCACCAAGAACAAAACGAAAAUGAGCACAGCAAAAAAGAUUGUGGCAGCACAAAAGUCAAGAAAAUGCACGUGUGAUCAUGACUGGCCAAUCAUCAACUGAUACAACAUCCAAGAAAAACGCUCCAAUCACAGCACCUCCACGAAACUUGACGGCAAUUGUCAUGCAACCGAUUCUUAGCCUUGUUACAUGACGCCAUCAUGUCACACUGUGAACUUUGAGUUGAUUUGAACUUACGGAUGGGGGACUUUUCUCCACUCUCAUGUGAUUACGUGAACUUUAUUCCUAGCUCAGCGCGAGACUGUGGUGGAUUUGACUGGCCCUGGUUGGGUUGUUGGAAUUUGAUUGAAUGACAAAAGAAGAAAAGAUUUAUAUAUAUAUUUAUAUAUGUAGAGAGAGAGAGAGAGGACAAGAGAGUGUGGGUGGGGGAAGGAAGAGGUGGGGCAGGGCAGGUGGGGUUGGGGAGUGUGGGAGGGCAGGGAGGGCUGGGAUUCAGGUGAAGGAGGGCAAGGAAGAAGUUAAAACAAAAUUAAAAAGAAAAUAUAUUUAUACAGCACCAGACCACAGCAUCAAUCUAGAAGCUCUGAUGAGAGAACAGCAGUCAAAUCAUAAGAGAACUGAAAAGAACUCAAAGGAUGGAGUAAGCCAGCAGACAAACAUGGGCACAUCAACACACACACACGCACACACACACACGCACACACAUACACACAUACACACACACGGUUGUUUAUGCAGACACAUGAUACACUGUGAACAGAAGCAGAACCUCACACAGGGCCACUAAGGGCAUCCAUCAUGCGUUGGGGAGGGGGGCAUGGGCGGUUUGGCAAG